Molecule: ribosomal RNA, 722 nt
Filed under: uncultured bacterium
Lineage: Bacteria
Description: bacterial SSU rRNA
Rfam family: Bacterial small subunit ribosomal RNA
Source: RNAcentral
GCAGUCGAGCGGUAGAGAGGUGCUUGCACCUCUUGAGAGCGGCGGACGGGUGAGUAAAGCCUAGGAAUCUGCCUGGUAGUGGGGGAUAACGCUCGGAAACGGACGCUAAUACCGCAUACGUCCUACGGGAGAAAGCAGGGGACCUUCGGGCCUUGCGCUAUCAGAUGAGCCUAGGUCGGAUUAGCUAGUUGGUGAGGUAAUGGCUCACCAAGGCGACGAUCCGUAACUGGUCUGAGAGGAUGAUCAGUCACACUGGAACUGAGACACGGUCCAGACUCCUACGGGAGGCAGCAGUGGGGAAUAUUGGACAAUGGGCGAAAGCCUGAUCCAGCCAUGCCGCGUGUGUGAAGAAGGUCUUCGGAUUGUAAAGCACUUUAAGUUGGGAGGAAGGGCAUUAACCUAAUACGUUAGUGUUUUGACGUUACCGACAGAAUAAGCACCGGCUAACUCUGUGCCAGCAGCCGCGGUAAUACAGAGGGUGCAAGCGUUAAUCGGAAUUACUGGGCGUAAAGCGCGCGUAGGUGGUUCGUUAAGUUGGAUGUGAAAUCCCCGGGCUCAACCUGGGAACUGCAUUCAAAACUGUCGAGCUAGAGUAUGGUAGAGGGUGGUGGAAUUUCCUGUGUAGCGGUGAAAUGCGUAGAUAUAGGAAGGAACACCAGUGGCGAAGGCGACCACCUGGACUGAUACUGACACUGAGGUGCGAAAGCGUGGGGAGCAAACAG